UAGAACUUUCCAGAGAUGGAUUGGUGCCUUCGGGAACUAUGAGACAGGUGCUGCAUGUCUGUCGUCAGCUCGUGUUGUGAUAUGUUGGGUUAAGUCCCGCUACGAGCGCAACCCUUAUCCUUGUUUGCCAGCACUUCGGCUGGGAACUCCAGGGAGACUGCCGGUGAUAAACCGGAGGAAGUUGGGGACGACGUCAAGUCAUCAUGGCCCUUACGAGUAGGGCUACACACGUGCUACAAUGGCGCAUACAGAGGUCGCCCUACUUGCGAAAGUGAGCGAAUCCCAAAAAGUGCGUCGUAGUCCGGAUUGGAGUCUGCAACUCGACUCCAUGAAGUCGGAAUCGCUAAUAAUCGUGGAUCAGAAUGCCACGGUGAAUACGUUCCCGGGCCUUGUACACACCGCCCGUCACACCAUGGGAGUGGAUUGCACCAGAAGUAGUUAGUCUAACCUUCGGGGGGACGAUUACCACGGUGUGGUUCAUGACUGGGGUGAAGUCGUAACAAGGUAACUCGUC
This 514-nucleotide ribosomal RNA is filed under the name uncultured bacterium. Its description in RNAcentral is "bacterial SSU rRNA". It matches the Rfam family "Bacterial small subunit ribosomal RNA", at positions 991 to 1505 of the family's 1533-position model. The record is from RNAcentral.